AACGAACGCUGGCGGCAGGCUUAACACAUGCAAGUCGAACGCCCCGCAAGGGGAGUGGCAGACGGGUGAGUAACGCGUGGGAACGUACCCUUUACUACGGAAUAACUCAGGGAAACUUGUGCUAAUACCGUAUGUGCCCUUCGGGGGAAAGAUUUAUCGGUAAAGGAUCGGCCCGCGUUGGAUUAGCUAGUUGGUGGGGUAAAGGCUCACCAAGGCGACGAUCCAUAGCUGGUCUGAGAGGAUGAUCAGCCACACUGGGACUGAGACACGGCCCAG
Molecule: ribosomal RNA, 276 nt
Filed under: uncultured bacterium
Lineage: Bacteria
Description: partial 16S ribosomal RNA
Rfam family: Bacterial small subunit ribosomal RNA
Source: RNAcentral